UCUCCGUUGGUGAACCAGCGGAGGGAUCAUUGCUGGAACUGUGUCCGCAAGGACACAACCCCAGAUACCCUUUGUGAACUUAUUCUUAUAUCGUUGCCUCGUCGCUGAGCUGGGGGCUUCUUUCCAAGGAGCUCUCCCAUGGUCUCUCGGGACGAUGGAGCAAGCCCGCCGGCGGCCCUUCUAAACUCUUGUUUACCUUACGUAUUACCUCUGAGUAUAUAACAAAACAAAUGAAUCAAAACUUUCAACAACGGAUCUCUUGGUUCUGGCAUCGAUGAAGAACGCAGC
This 288-nucleotide unclassified non-coding RNA is filed under the name uncultured fungus. RNAcentral's name for it is "sequence contains ITS1, 5.8S rRNA gene". The stretch from base 240 to 288 matches the Rfam family "5.8S ribosomal RNA", at positions 1 to 49 of the family's 154-position model. Lineage: Eukaryota; Fungi. The record is from RNAcentral.